GACGAACGCUGGCGGCGUGCUUAACACAUGCAAGUCGAACGGAAAGGCCCUGCUUUUGUGGGGUGCUCGAGUUGCGAACGGGUGAGUAACACGUGAGUAACCUGCCCUUGACUUUGGGAUAACUUCAGGAAACUGGGGCUCAUACCGGAUAGGAGCUCCUGCUGCAUGGUGGGGGUUGGUAAGUUUCGGCGGUUGGGGUUGGACUCGCGGCUUAUCAGCUUGUUGGUGGGGUAGUGGCUUACCAAGGCCUUGACGGGUAGCCGGGCUGAGAGGGUCAGCGGACACGUUGGGACGGAGAUACGGCCCAGACUCGUACGGGAGGGAGCAGUGGGGAAGAGUGCACAAUGGGCGGAAGCCUGAUGCAGCAACGCCGCGUGGGGGAUGACGGGCAUCGGGUUGUAAACCGCUUUCGCCUGUGACGAAGCGUGAGUGACGGUAAUGGGUAAAGAAGCACCGGCUAACUACGUG
RNAcentral lists this ribosomal RNA (468 nucleotides) under uncultured bacterium. RNAcentral describes it as "partial 16S ribosomal RNA". It matches the Rfam family "Bacterial small subunit ribosomal RNA", at positions 28 to 507 of the family's 1533-position model. The record is from RNAcentral.